GACAGAGGGUGCAAACGUUGUUCGGAAUUACUGGGCGUAAAGCGUGUGUAGGCGGCUCUGCAAGUCGGAUGUGAAAGCCCUGGGCUCAACCCAGGAAGUGCACUCGAUACUGCAGAGCUUGAGUAUCGGAGAGGUUGGUGGAAUUCUCGGUGUAGAGGUGAAAUUCGUAGAUAUCGAGAGGAACACCGGUGGCGAAGGCGGCCAACUGGACGAGUACUGACGCUGAGACACGAAAGCGUGGGGAGCAAACAGG
RNAcentral lists this ribosomal RNA (253 nucleotides) under uncultured bacterium. Its description in RNAcentral is "partial 16S ribosomal RNA". It matches the Rfam family "Bacterial small subunit ribosomal RNA", at positions 524 to 776 of the family's 1533-position model. The record is from RNAcentral.